This 253-nucleotide ribosomal RNA is filed under the name uncultured bacterium. RNAcentral's name for it is "partial 16S ribosomal RNA". It matches the Rfam family "Bacterial small subunit ribosomal RNA", at positions 524 to 776 of the family's 1533-position model. The record is from RNAcentral.
UACGAAGGGGGCUAGCGUUGCUCGGAAUCACUGGGCGUAAAGAGCUCGUAGGUGGUUUGUCGCGUUGUUCGUGAAAUCUCACGGCUUAACUGUGAGCGUGCGGGCGAUACGGGCAGACUGGAGUACUGCAGGGGAGACUGGAAUUCCUGGUGUAGCGGUGGAAUGCGCAGAUAUCAGGAGGAACACCGGUGGCGAAGGCGGGUCUCUGGGCAGUAACUGACGCUGAGGAGCGAAAGCGUGGGGAGCGAACAGG